Molecule: ribosomal RNA, 333 nt
Filed under: Triticum aestivum (bread wheat)
Lineage: Eukaryota; Viridiplantae; Streptophyta; Magnoliopsida; Poales; Poaceae
Description: partial small subunit ribosomal RNA
Source: RNAcentral
AUGGUGCUGGGAUACCCACCGGUGGAGGCCCAGGGCAUUGCGGACCGGCUUAAUUGCCGCCUGGGUUAUUUCCCCACGACCUAUCUGGGGAUCCCCAUUAGUGACUCUCGCCUCACCGUAGCGGACCUCCGCCCUUCCGUGACCCGGAUGCAACACUGAGUCAAGCCCUGGAAGGGCCGGUGGCUCUCGAAGGCGGCGCGGGUAAUCCUCAUCAACUCCUCGCUGGCUAGCCUUCUCUGGUUCCUCAUGAUCUUCUAUAGACUCCAUGAGACGCUUCACCAGGAGGUGGCCAAAUAUCAGUCCAGAUUUUACUGGGCUGGCGAGGGGGACAAG